This 297-nucleotide long non-coding RNA is filed under the name Rattus norvegicus (Norway rat). Its description in RNAcentral is "long non-coding RNA NONRATT006256". The record is from RNAcentral. Lineage: Eukaryota; Metazoa; Chordata; Mammalia; Rodentia; Muridae.
GGCAUUUUCCCUACGCAGGACCAGCCAGAACCUUCCGGGUGGAUGGGGACAACCCUGAGAGCCGGCUGACGGUUCCUGGCCUCAGUGAGAACGUUCCUUACAAGUUCAAGGUGCAGGCCCGGACAACAGAGGGCUUUGGGCCCGAGCGUGAGGGUAUCAUCACCAUCGAGUCUCAGGAUGGAGGCCCCUUCCCACAGCUGGGCAGCCAUUCUGGGCUUUUCCAGAACCCACUGCAAAGUGAGUACAGCACUGUCACCAGCACUCACAGCACUACCACCACCGAGCCCUUCCUUAUAG